RNAcentral lists this long non-coding RNA (386 nucleotides) under Carica papaya (papaya). RNAcentral describes it as "long non-coding RNA (CPAP_LNC015014)". Lineage: Eukaryota; Viridiplantae; Streptophyta; Magnoliopsida; Brassicales; Caricaceae. The record is from RNAcentral.
UUCCGUUUAUAUAUGAUUUCAUGAUGAUGAUGAUGUUAUUGCUUUCGUAUAUUAUUUUUUAUGAACUUCACCGAGGUAAGUGAAUGGUAAAGGUUUUAUUAUUGAUAAAAGGAUUUGUUGUAAAUUAUGCUCCAUUGGUCUUUAUGUGUUUUCUACCCACCUUUACCUCCGUGACGGUGAGAUAUCGUGAUGUCCUUACUGAGCUAGUGUAGCUCAUUCCUUAUUUAAUCAUUUCAGAUCAGGAAGACAUUGUUCCCGAGCCGGUUCCGCAGGAGGACGACAAAGGGGACGUCUAAGGACUCCAUAGUCAUAUUCGCAGCUUUUACUUUCAAGUUUUCUCCUUUAGAUAGUUUGAUCUUUUAUAUUGUGAACACAUUUUUGGUUUU